UACGUAGGGUGCGAGCGUUAAUCGGAAUUACUGGGCGUAAAGUGUGCGCAGGCGGCCCCGCAAGUCGAGUGUGAAAUCCCCGAGCUUAACUUGGGAAUGGCGCUCGAAACUACGGGGCUCGAGUGUGGCAGAGGGAGGUGGAAUUCCACGUGUAGCGGUGAAAUGCGUAGAGAUGUGGAGGAACACCAAUGGCGAAGGCAGCCUCCUGGGUCAACACUGACGCUCAUGCACGAAAGCGUGGGGAGCAAACAGG
RNAcentral lists this ribosomal RNA (253 nucleotides) under uncultured bacterium. Its description in RNAcentral is "partial 16S ribosomal RNA". It matches the Rfam family "Bacterial small subunit ribosomal RNA", at positions 524 to 776 of the family's 1533-position model. The record is from RNAcentral.